This 1353-nucleotide ribosomal RNA is filed under the name uncultured marine eukaryote. RNAcentral describes it as "SSU rRNA". It matches the Rfam family "Eukaryotic small subunit ribosomal RNA", at positions 411 to 1776 of the family's 1831-position model. The record is from RNAcentral.
CACUUCUAAGGAAGGCAGCAGGCGCGCAAAUUACCCAAUCCUGACUCAGGGAGGUAGUGACAAGAAAUAACAAUAAACCGGCUUAUGCCGGUUUAAUUGGAAUGAGUACAAUUUAAACAUCUUAACGAGGAACAAUUGGAGGGCAAGUCUGGUGCCAGCAGCCGCGGUAAUUCCAGCUCCAAUAGCGUAUACUAAAGUUGUUGCAGUUAAAAAGCUCGUAGUUGGAUUUCUGUGGGGACGGAGCGGCCGGCCGCACAUCGCGGUUCGAGCUAGCGCUUUCCCUACAUCCUGCCGCGAACCGUGCUACCAUUAGUUUGGUGGCGCCGGGGAUCGGCUCGAUUACUUUGAGAAAAAUAGAGUGUUCAAAGCAGGCCACAUGCCUUGAAUAAGUUAGCAUGGAAUAAUAACUAAGGACUUCGGUUCUAUUUUGUUGGUGUUCGGGACUGAAGUAAUGAUUGAUAGGGACAGUUGGGGCGGUCUGUAUUCCAAAGCGAGAGGUGAAAUUCUUAGACCUUCGGAAGACAAACAGCUGCGAAAGCGUUCCGCAAGGAUGUUCCCUUUGAUCAAGAACGAAAGUUGGGGGAUCGAAGACGAUCAGAUACCGUCGUAGUCUCAACUAUAAACUAUACCAGCUAGGGAUCGGCCAACGUUAUUUUAUACCGACUUGGUCGGCACCUUAUGAGAAAUCAAAGCAUCUGGGUUCCGGGGGGAGUAUGGUCGCAAGGCUGAAACUUAAAGGAAUUGACGGAAGGGCACCACCAGCCGUGGAGCCUGUGGCUUAAUUUGACUCAACACGGGAAAACUUACCAGGUCCAGACAUAGUAAGGAUUGACAGAUUGAUAGCUCUUUCUUGAUUCUGUGGGUGGUGGUGCAUGGCCGUUCUUAGUUGGUGGAGUGAUUUGUCUGGUUAAUUCCGUUAACGAACGAGACCCCAGCCUGCUAAAUAGCGCGCGUGAGCUUUGCUCGCGGCGAGCUUCUUAGAGGGACUAUGAUGCGCGAUAGCACAUGGAAGUUUGGGGCAAUAACAGGUCUGUGAUGCCCUUAGAUGUUCUGGGCCGCACACGGGCUACACUGGCGCCUGCAACGAGCAUAUCAGCUGGCCCGAGAGGGUCUUGGCUAAUCUUUUGAACCGGCGCCGUGCUUGGGAUUGACCUUUGCAAUUGUUGGUCAUGCAACGAGGAAUGCCUUGUAAACGCGAGUCAUCAGCUCGCAUUGAAUACGUCCCUGCCCUUUGUACACACCGCCCGUCGCUCCUACCGAUGAAUGUUCCGAUGAAAUUUUCGGAGAGCACCUGUGAACUUGGCUCUGCCUUGCGAACGGGAGGCUCAAAGUCACUUAAAUCUGAACAUUUCG